This 162-nucleotide unclassified non-coding RNA is filed under the name uncultured fungus. RNAcentral's name for it is "sequence contains ITS1". The record is from RNAcentral. Lineage: Eukaryota; Fungi.
GUGUAUUUAAAAGUGAUUAGACAGGUUGUUUGUCACGGUCGGUGUUGAUGGUUAACACUCGGUACGAGGUCUUACCCCCGCACUCAAGUUUGUCAUACUCGCUGUGCGGGCUGACGCCCACACAUCUCGGAAAUGAUCCUUCCGCAGGUUCACCUACGGAAA